GCCGCGUUAGCUCAGCUGGUAGAGCACAGCAUUCGUAAUGCUGGGGUCGGGUGUUCGAGUCACCCACGCGGCACCA
Molecule: transfer RNA, 76 nt
Filed under: Alphaproteobacteria bacterium
Lineage: Bacteria; Pseudomonadati; Pseudomonadota; Alphaproteobacteria
Also listed under: 1 other name
Description: tRNA-Thr
Rfam family: tRNA
About the family: Transfer RNA (tRNA) molecules are approximately 80 nucleotides in length. Their secondary structure includes four short double-helical elements and three loops (D, anti-codon, and T loops).
Source: RNAcentral